RNAcentral lists this ribosomal RNA (119 nucleotides) under Pteropus alecto (black flying fox). The record is from RNAcentral. Lineage: Eukaryota; Metazoa; Chordata; Mammalia; Chiroptera; Pteropodidae.
GUCUACUGCCAUGCCACCUUAAACGAGCCAGAUCCCAUCUGAUCUCACAAGCUAAGCAGGUUCAGGCCUGGUUAGUACUUGGAUGGGGGACCACCUAGGAAGACCAGGUGCUGAAAAAU